Long non-coding RNA from Gallus gallus (chicken), 3183 nucleotides. NCBI's taxonomy places the organism in Eukaryota, Metazoa, Chordata, Aves, Galliformes, Phasianidae. The record is from Ensembl.
GGCUAAUAAUUCUUUAUUUCCAAACAGAAACUGCAAAAAUAUUCUAUUACAGAGCAAGUAACAAGUGCAGAAUUCCAAGUACGCAUUAUACUAGUGAAACCAUUGCCUCCUUGACAAAAAAAAUCAUUAGGCACUUAAAACAUGAAAACAAAGCAUAACAUAAACCAGCUAACAGAUGUCUCAACAAUACAACUUUAUCUUGGUUUUCUGUAAUAAAAGCACACACACGUUUGAGGGGCUUUCCAUGCCUCCUCCUAAAUCCUGCGUAGAGACACUUCUAUGUUAGGCUGCACGCACGCUACUCAUGUGCAAACAGACAAUAUCAAGUUCACAUCUGAAAACAUAAAUAAAUUCAGCACUGAGAGAAUUUGAGAGAACCUUUUUGGAAACAGCAACUGCAGAGCCUGUGCUAGCAGCUCCACACAGUUUGGUGCUUGAGGAACACGAUACCAGCUCCAAGGAUGGGGAAGCUCUGCUUGGACAAUGGCAUUGAAGAGAUUGGAACAGAAAUGAAUGCAAUCAGUGCCCUUUUGAGAGACAAUGAAACCUAUGGGAAAGAAAAAAAAAAAAAAAAAGGAAAGAAAAAGCAGCUACUGUGGAAAUUACAUUUUGCCACAUCUCUGAAAAAGAAGAAAACACACACUUGGCAUCCCUUAGCAAUAGUUCUAUGUAGAACCUUGCCAUUUACCAGUCUCCUUGCUUGUAUUUCUUGACCUAAACCAGAAGCAAAGGUGGUCUGUUAGCCCUGCCUUGGAAAGGUAAAUCUACAAAAAACCUGUCCAAAGGACUAAUGAAAAUACCCUUGUAGAAAUCAGUCAGAAACCCUUUAAAAUGACUUUGGGUUGCAUCAUUGUUAUUUUAAGGGUGCACUGCGAGAAGCACUGCCAAGAAGUUGAGGGAGGUGAUCUUCCCUCUCAGCCCCAGAGGAGGGACACCUGGAGUGCUGUGUCCAGUGCUGGGCCUCCAGUACAGAGACGUGGAGUUACUGGAGAGAGUCCAGCAGAGAGCUACAAGGAUGAGUAUGAGACUGGAGCACCUCUCUGGAAGAACAGCUGGGAGAGCUGGGCCUGUUUAGCCUGAGGAGAAGGGGACCUUAUCUAAACUUAUAAAUAUAAGAGGGUGUCAAGAGGAUGGGACCAGACUCUCUUCAAUGGUGCCCAGUGACAGGGCAAGAGGCCACAGGCACAAACUGAAAUACAGCAAGUUCUACAUGAAUAUGAAGAAAAAUUCUGUACUGUGAGGGUACAGAGCGCUGGAACACACUGCCAGGGGGAUUGUGCAGUUUUUUUCCCUGGAGAUAUUCAAAACCUGCCUGGAUGUGAUCAUGUGCAACGCGUUCUAGAUGUCCCUGCUUGAGAAGGGGGCUUGGACCAGAUGAUCUCCAAGGUCCCUUCACCCUCAGCCACUCUGUGUCUGUGUGCGUGAUUAUAUAACUUUCCCUGCAGCUUACUCUGGUGGAAUAAAACGCAGUGAAUAUUUUAAAAUAAAUUUAAUUUAAUGCUUGAAGAAAAGAACAUUAAGAAUAUUAACAUAAAGAAUACAUCCAAAGCUACUAUAUAAAAUAUGCAUACAAAACACACAGAAAAUUCAGCUACUGCAUUUCAGUUUCACAAGAAUUUAGGAAUGAUUCUGUACCAUAAGCACUACCAAUAAAUACAAUGAGAAGUAGAAGGGUAUUGUUAGGGAAACAACUCACAGCUGAGCCCAGAGCUGAAAAACCUAGCAGGAUGCUGACUUGCUGUGACAAAACCUCUCCUUGUCAGAAACUAAAGCAAACUCUGAAGAACUGAAAAUCCAUAAUCUUGUCUUAGACUAGAAUAUCCUGUCCCAGCCAUUAGCGUUAUUCAUUCUGAUGGCCUCUUGCCACAGUACCAUGAAUUAAUGGUGUAAUCAUUAAAUAAUUCCAUCACUCAGUUUUCUGAGUUGUCUCCCUCAAUGGAAAGCAGCAAGAAGAAAUAGGAAGAAAAAGAAACCACAAGACAAAAUGGUAUCAGGUGCAGCAACUUAUGUGGCAUGUUAUACUGCUAAAUCUACCUCAGAAUUUAGCAAAAGGCUACAUUACUGAUUAUGUGAUGGCAAUGCAAAAACGUCAUUCCUUCCUGUAUUCAACAAGGAAUAAAAGAAGCUCCAUAAAUUGUCAUACAUCACGGUAAUAAAUAUAAUUAAUGCAUGGCUCCUUGGUCUACAGCAAAUUCAGACUGAUGUAAUCCUAAUGGUUUAAGCUCUUGUCAUAUUGCUUGCAUUUGCUUGACAUGAAGAAUGUGCAGAGACCACUGCCCAGCUGGACUGGUGCACAGCCACCCAGUAACAAGGGGUAGUUCCCUUGUAGGCCAAGGCUCAGGAAUAGGAAGGUGUUCUGCAGUAUGACUUGAUGAAAGAGACUACUAAAUAACAGUAAUAGUGCCUUUGUUUAGUGGUAUGCUGCAGAUCUUUUCAUGCUCUGCUUGGCCAUUAUUAUAAUUUAGAGCCAAUUAAGAAACACUUAAUAUGAGCCUGAUGAAAACCUGGAACAAAGCUUAAUAAAUAUAAAUUUCCCACUCAUUGUGCCUUGUAGCUGAAAGCCUCAAAUGAUUUCUCCAGAAUAUCCCAAGAGAUCAGCAGCCUUUAAAACUUUGGAACUUUGAAAUUCAGAGAAUGACUUUCCUCCCUAAAAUGAUACAAUCUGAAAUCAAGAGAGCCAAGCUUGAUGGAGUAAAAACAGGUCUUUGUUGCUAUUCUUGGCUAGCAGACCUGGAGAGGAGAAAGACCAGCUGCUGAAGCAUUGUGAGAUAAAGGAUUACCUGGCUGUGAAUAUUUGCAGCAAAGAUACAUUCAAGCAGCAAGUGCAUGUGUAAGAAGUUUACUGUGUCCAAGGAUUACAGCACACAAGUGACUAAUCAGCUGUUUCAAAUAAAGCUGUUUCAGAAUAAAGCACUUAAUGGGAUAGUCCUUGAUACUGCACAUAUCUGCGCACACAAGUGGACGUGGGCUUUACAGACCUAAGAGCCCCUGGAGGCACAGCUGUGUGCAUCUUCAGGAUCUCGCUCCACAGAUUUGUCAUAGGAGAGUGACAGGACAAAGAUCUCCAGAUCAAACAUUCUAUGAACGUGGCCAUUUCUGGCUGCUGUUCUGCUACCGAGUCCACAAUGCGUCAAGUUCUAUGUGAUUAAUUAACUCAGACAAAUUAACAGAUCCGAACAUUUG